CGGCCGGGCGGGCCGGGGCCCGGACCGUCUCCGCCGACGACGGGGGCCGCGCCCGUACGGCGGGGGUGCGCCGCGAGUCCCACCCCCGCGCGAUCGA
RNAcentral lists this transfer RNA (97 nucleotides) under Thermopolyspora flexuosa. RNAcentral describes it as "tRNA-Val". The record is from RNAcentral. Lineage: Bacteria; Bacillati; Actinomycetota; Actinomycetes; Streptosporangiales; Streptosporangiaceae.